GAUGACGACCGGCGCACGGGUGCGUAACGCGUAUAGAACCUACCUUUUACAGAGGGAUAGCCUUUAGAAAUGAAGAUUAAUACCUCAUGGUAUUGAGUUUUGGCAUCAAGACUUAAUUAAAGAUUUAUCGGUAAAAGAUGGCUAUGCGUCCUAUUAGCUAGAUGGUAAGGUAACGGCUUACCAUGGCAACGAUAGGUAGGGGUCCUGAGAGGGAGAUCCCCCACACUGGUACUGAGACACGGACCAGACUCCUACGGGAGGCAGCAGUGAGGAAUAUUGGGCAAUGGAGGCAACUCUGACCCAGCCAUGCCGCGUGCAGGAUGACUGCCCUAUGGGUUGUAAACUGCUUUUAUACAGGAAGAAACGUGUCUACGUGUAGAUAUUUGACGGUACUGUAAGAAUAAGGACCGGCUAACUCCGUGCCAGCAGCCGCGGUAAUACGGAGGGUCCGAGCGUUAUCCGGAAUCAUUGGGUUUAAAGGGUCCGCAGGCGGUCAAUUAAGUCAGAGGUGAAAUCCCAUAGCUCAACUAUGGAACUGCCUUUGAUACUGGUUGACUUGAGUCAUAUGGAAGUAGAUAGAAUGUGUAGUGUAGCGGUGAAAUGCAUAGAUAUUACACAGAAUACCGAUUGCGAAGGCAGUCUACUACGUAUGUACUGACGCUGAGGGACGAAAGCGUGGGGAGCGAACAGGAUUAGAUACCCUGGUAGUCCACGCCGUAAACGAUGGAUACUAGUUGUUGGGUUUAUACUCAGUGACUAAGCGAAAGUGAUAA
This 773-nucleotide ribosomal RNA is filed under the name Bacteroidetes bacterium SCGC AAA160-L09. RNAcentral describes it as "bacterial SSU rRNA". It matches the Rfam family "Bacterial small subunit ribosomal RNA", at positions 87 to 863 of the family's 1533-position model. The record is from RNAcentral. Lineage: Bacteria; Pseudomonadati; Bacteroidota.